GUGCCAGCCGCCGCGGUAACACCAGCGCCACGAGUGGCCAUCGCGAUUAUUGGGCCUAAAGCGUCCGUAGUCGGUUCUGUGCAUCUUCUGUGAAAUCGUUGCGCCUAACGUAACGGCAUGCGGAAGACACGGCAGAACUUGAGAGCGGGAGGCGUGUAGGGUAUUCCGGGGGGACCGGUAAAAUGGUAUAAUCCCCGGAGGACCACCUGUGGCGAAGGCGCUACACGAGAACGCAUCUGACGAUGAGGGACGAAAGCCAGGGGAGCAAACCGGAUUAGAUACCCCGGUAGUCC
This 293-nucleotide ribosomal RNA is filed under the name uncultured bacterium. Its description in RNAcentral is "partial 16S ribosomal RNA". It matches the Rfam family "Archaeal small subunit ribosomal RNA", at positions 455 to 747 of the family's 1478-position model. The record is from RNAcentral.